Small nuclear RNA from Cercocebus atys (sooty mangabey), 104 nucleotides. The record is from Ensembl. Lineage: Eukaryota; Metazoa; Chordata; Mammalia; Primates; Cercopithecidae.
AUGCUUGCUUUGGAAGCACAUAUACUAACAUUGGACCGAUACAGAGAUUAGUGUGGCCGCCGCUCAAGGAUAACAUGCAAAUCUGUGAAGCGUUCCAUUAAAAA